UGACCUCAAAUCANGUAGGACUACCCGCUGAACUUAAC
RNAcentral lists this ribosomal RNA (38 nucleotides) under Marasmius bondoi. RNAcentral's name for it is "partial large subunit ribosomal RNA". The record is from RNAcentral. Lineage: Eukaryota; Fungi; Basidiomycota; Agaricomycetes; Agaricales; Marasmiaceae.